GGAUGGACCUGCGGUGCAUUAGCUAGUUGGUGGGGUAACGGCCCACCAAGACGAUGAUGCAUAGCCGGCCUGAGAGGGCGGACGGCCACAUUGGGACUGAGACACGGCCUAGACUCCUGCGGGAGGCAGCAGUAGGGAAUUUUCGUCAAUGGGCGCAAGCCUGAACGAGCGAUGCCGCGUGAGUGAAGAAGGCCUUCGGGUCGUAAAGCUCUGUUGCGGGGGAAAAAAGGCAGCAUCAGGAAAUGGGUGCUGACUGAUGGUGCCCCGCCAGAAAGUCACGGCUAACUACGUGCCAGCAGCCGCGGUAAUACGUAGGUGGCGAGCGUUAUCCGGAAUGAUUGGGCGUAAAGGGUGCGCAGGCGGUCCUGCAAGUCUGGAGUGAAACGCAUGAGCUCAACUCAUGCAUGGCUUUGGAAACUGGAGGACUGGAGAGCAGGAGAGGGCGGUGGAACUCCAUGUGUAGCGGUAAAAUGCGUAGAUAUAUGGAAGAACACCAGUGGCGAAGGCGGCCGCCUGGCCUGUUGCUGACGCUGAGGCACGAAAGCGUGGGGAGCAAAUAGGAUUAGAUACCCUAGUAGUCCACGCCGUAAACGA
Molecule: ribosomal RNA, 594 nt
Filed under: uncultured bacterium
Lineage: Bacteria
Description: bacterial SSU rRNA
Rfam family: Bacterial small subunit ribosomal RNA
Source: RNAcentral